UACGUAGGGUGCAAGCGUUAAUCGGAAUUACUGGGCGUAAAGCGUGCGCAGGCGGUUAUGUAAGACAGGGGUGAAAUCCCCGGGCUUAACCUGGGAACUGCAUUUGUGACUGCAUAGCUAGAGUACGGUAGAGGGGGAUGGAAUUCCGCGUGUAGCAGUGAAAUGCGUAGAGAUGCGGAGGAACACCGAUGGCGAAGGCAGCCCCCUGGGCCAAUACUGACGCUCAGGCACGAAAGCGUGGGGAGCAAACAGG
RNAcentral lists this ribosomal RNA (253 nucleotides) under uncultured bacterium. Its description in RNAcentral is "partial 16S ribosomal RNA". It matches the Rfam family "Bacterial small subunit ribosomal RNA", at positions 524 to 776 of the family's 1533-position model. The record is from RNAcentral.